RNAcentral lists this ribosomal RNA (461 nucleotides) under uncultured bacterium. Its description in RNAcentral is "bacterial SSU rRNA". It matches the Rfam family "Bacterial small subunit ribosomal RNA", at positions 64 to 512 of the family's 1533-position model. The record is from RNAcentral.
UGACGGUAACAGGAUGCUNUUGCUGACGAGUGGCGGACGGGUGAGUAAUGUCUGGGAAACUGCCUGAUGGAGUGGGGAUAACUACUGGAAACGGUAGCUAAUACCGCAUAACGUCGCAAGACCAAAGAGGGGGACCUUCGGGCCUCUUGCCAUCGGGUGUGCCCAGAUGGGAUUAGCUAGUAUGUGGGGUAACGGCUCACCUAGGCGACGAUCCCUAGCUGGUCUGAGAGUGAUGACCAGCCACACUGGAACUGAGACACUGGUCCAGACUCCUACGGGAGGCAGCAGUGGGGAAUAUUUGCACAAUGGGCGCAAGCCUGAUGCAGCCAUGCCUGCGUGUAUGAAGAAGGCCUAUCGGGUUGUAAAUGUACUUUCAGCGUGGGCAGGAAGGUUGUUGAGGUUAAUAACCUCAGCAAUUGACGUUACCCGCAGAAGAAGCACCGGGCUAACUCCGUGCCAGG